This 214-nucleotide long non-coding RNA is filed under the name Lathyrus oleraceus (garden pea). Its description in RNAcentral is "Pisum sativum (pea) long non-coding RNA (PSAT_LNC040887)". Lineage: Eukaryota; Viridiplantae; Streptophyta; Magnoliopsida; Fabales; Fabaceae. The record is from RNAcentral.
AACCCAUGAAAUUUGAUUGAAUUGUGGGAAUGAUGAAAAUGAUGAUGUUAAACCCAUAAAAUUUGAUUGAAUUGUGGGAAUGAUGAAAAUGUUGAUGUUAAACCCAUGAAAUUUUAGUGAAUUGUGGGAAUGAUGAAAAUGAUGAUGUUACACGCAUGAAAUUUGAUUGAGUUAUGGGAUUAAGGAAAUGUUGAUGUUAAACCCAUGAAAUUUG